UGUGCCAGCAGCCGCGGUGAUACGGAGGGGUGCAAGCGUUAAUCGGAAUUACUGGGCGUAAAGCGCACGCAGGCGGUUUGUUAAGUCAGAUGUGAAAUCCCCGGGCUCAACCUGGGAACUGCAUCUGAUACUGGCAAGCUUGAGUCUCGUAGAGGGGGGUAGAAUUCCAGGUGUAGCGGUGAAAUGCGUAGAGAUCUGGAGGAAUACCGGUGGCGAAGGCGGCCCCCUGGACGAAGACUGACGCUCAGGUGCGAAAGCGUGGGGAGCAAACAGGAUUAGAUACCCUGGUAGUCCACGCCGUAAACGAUGUCGACUUGGAGGUUGUGCCCUUGAGGCGUGGCUUCCGGAGCUAACGCGUUAAGUCGACCGCCUGGGGAGUACGGCCGCAAGGUUAAAACUCAAAUGAAUUGACGGGGGCCCGCACAAGCGGUGGAGCAUGUGGUUUAAUUCGAUGCAACGCGAAGAACCUUACCUGGUCUUGACAUCCACGGAAGUUUUCAGAGAUGAGAAUGUGCCUUCGGGAACCGUGAGACAGGUGCUGCAUGGCUGUCGUCAGCUCGUGUUGUGAAAUGUUGGGUUAAGUCCCGCAACGAGCGCAACCCUUAUCCUUUGUUGCCAGCGGUCCGGCCGGGAACUCAAAGGAGACUGCCAGUGAUAAAUUGGAGGAAGGUGGGGAUGACGUCAAGUCAUCAUGGCCCUUACGACCAGGGCUACACACGUGCUACAAUGGCGCAUACAAAGAGAAGCGACCUCGCGAGAGCAAGCGGACCUCAUAAAGUGCGUCGUAGUCCGGAUUGGAGUCUGCAACUCGACUCCAUGAAGUCGGAGUCGCUAGUAAUCGUGGAUCAGAAUGCCACGGUGAAUACGUUCCCGGGCCUUGUACACACCGCCCGUCACACCAUGGGAGUGGGUUGCAAAAGAAGUAGGUAGCUUAACCUUCGGGAGGGCGCUUACCACUUUGUGAUUCAUGACUGGGGUGAAGUCGUAACAAGGUAACCGAA
RNAcentral lists this ribosomal RNA (1001 nucleotides) under uncultured Escherichia sp. RNAcentral describes it as "bacterial SSU rRNA". It matches the Rfam family "Bacterial small subunit ribosomal RNA", at positions 504 to 1504 of the family's 1533-position model. The record is from RNAcentral. Lineage: Bacteria; Pseudomonadati; Pseudomonadota; Gammaproteobacteria; Enterobacterales; Enterobacteriaceae.